RNAcentral lists this long non-coding RNA (1168 nucleotides) under Medicago truncatula (barrel medic). RNAcentral's name for it is "lncRNA gene6513". Lineage: Eukaryota; Viridiplantae; Streptophyta; Magnoliopsida; Fabales; Fabaceae. The record is from RNAcentral.
UUCUGUCCAUUUCUUAUGUCAGGAAUCUCGCUACUUUCAAUAAUUUUGUUCUGUGAGGCUUUUUAACCUUUAUUUAGCUUUUCUUGUUUUACAAUAACUCCAAUCUUACACCAUCACUACCACAACACAACCAACUUAAAUCUAGAUCUAGAUAGAUAGAAUAGAACCCCCUUCACUUCAUUAUAGAGGAGAGGAAAAGGGAGCCAAAGUUGGGGGAAGGCAUAGGCAUGGGAUAGUAGGGAAGAAGUGAUAACAGCAUAUGCUUAUUAUGGUGCUUCUUCUUACCUACACCUCCCAUGCCUACGUUUUCCCUCUAUUUCUCCCUCUUCCCUUACUUUCAGCACCCUCCCUUCUCAUAUGGACAUGGUAAUUAACACUACUUCCAUCUUUAUUUUCAUUUUCAGUAUACAGAUCUACGUUUCUACUCUAUUUUUUUGCCUCAUUUUGUUUUGCAUUUCAACAUAUUUAUUAUUUUCUUAUAAGAAGAAUUAUCAAUUGGAAUAAUUUUUUAAUUGUUAUUGAUCCAUCAACAAAAUACAUCGAAGUUUGUAGUUUUCUUUAAAAAAAAAUAUCAAUCUUAGAAAAUUAGGUAGCUCAACUAGUUUGAGGUCUUCAAAUCUUAAACAAGGACAAAAAAAUUAACAUAACAUUCUACAUUUGCAUCCAACAAAAAUCUUAAAAAAUCAUUAAGAAGGAAAAUUUAUUUUUUCAAAACAAAAGAUAACUUAGAUCCAAUUUAACAAAAAGCAAAUACGGAGUAUCUCAUAUUUUUAUUUUUAAAGACAUUUUUGGUUACAUAUUUUUGAAGAAUUUAAUUUAUAUGUGUUCACUUUACACCUGAAAAAUAAAUUCACACAUGCAUUAACUGUUUUGUAGUUUUCAAUGUUUAUAUAGUUAUUUAAUAGUCCUUAUACAAAAAGGGUAGCAAAAAUGAGAUAGAUCUUAAUAGCAAAAAUGAAUUAUAUUAAACUAAAGGAGCUAUACGUCAGUUUAAAGAGUGUUAGGUUAUGACUCAAGAGAUUACAAUCGAAAUACAUAAUAAAAUCAACACAACCUUUAGCUAGAAAUCAAUCCAGCAUUUCAACUAGGUAACAAGAGUAAUGAAAAUCAAAAUUUAAGUUUGGAUUUGGAUCCUCUCCUAUCUUUUUUGUGCAGUCUCCUCUCCUUU